Molecule: ribosomal RNA, 351 nt
Filed under: uncultured bacterium
Lineage: Bacteria
Description: bacterial SSU rRNA
Rfam family: Bacterial small subunit ribosomal RNA
Source: RNAcentral
GGGCCCGCACAAGCGGUGGAGCAUGUGGUUUAAUUCGAUGAUACGCGAGGAACCUUACCAGGUCUUAAAUGCAUAACGAACGAUUGGGAAACCAAUCUUUCUUCGGACGGAAUGCAAGGUGCUGCAUGGUUGUCGUCAGCUCGUGCCGUGAGGUGUCAGGUUAAGUCCUAUAACGAGCGCAACCCCUAUUCUUAGUUGCCAGCGGUUCGGCCGGGGACUCUAAGAAAACUGCCAGUGCAAGCUGUGAGGAAGGUGGGGAUGACGUCAAAUCAUCACGGCCCUUACGACCUGGGCCACACACGUGCUACAAUGGUAGGUACAAAGGGCAGCCACUUGGCGACAAGGAGCUAA